RNAcentral lists this ribosomal RNA (465 nucleotides) under Vreelandella stevensii. RNAcentral's name for it is "partial 16S ribosomal RNA". It matches the Rfam family "Bacterial small subunit ribosomal RNA", at positions 338 to 795 of the family's 1533-position model. Lineage: Bacteria; Pseudomonadati; Pseudomonadota; Gammaproteobacteria; Oceanospirillales; Halomonadaceae. The record is from RNAcentral.
CCUACGGGUGGCAGCAGUGGGGAAUAUUGGACAAUGGGCGAAAGCCUGAUCCCGCCAUGCCGCGUGUGUGAAGAAGGCCUUCGGGUUGUAAAGCACUUUCAGUGGGGAAGAAAGCCUUGGGGCUAAUACCCUCGAGGAAGGACAUCACCCACAGAAGAAGCACCGGCUAACUCCGUGCCAGCAGCCGCGGUAAUACGGAGGGUGCGAGCGUUAAUCGGAAUUACUGGGCGUAAAGCGCGCGUAGGCGGUCUUAUAAGCCGGUUGUGAAAGCCCCGGGCUCAACCUGGGAACGGCAUCCGGAACUGUCAGGCUAGAGUGCAGGAGAGGAAGGUAGAAUUCCCGGUGUAGCGGUGAAAUGCGUAGAGAUCGGGAGGAAUACCAGUGGCGAAGGCGGCCUUCUGGACUGACACUGACGCUGAGGUGCGAAAGCGUGGGUAGCAAACAGGAUUAGAUACCCCGGUAGUC